UACGUAGGGUGCGAGCGUUGUCCGGAAUUACUGGGCGUAAAGAGCUCGUAGGUGGUUUGUCGCGUUGUUCGUGAAAACUCACAGCUUAACUGUGGGCGUGCGGGCGAUACGGGCAGACUGGAGUACUGCAGGGGAGACUGGAAUUCCUGGUGUAGCGGUGGAAUGCGCAGAUAUCAGGAGGAACACCGGUGGCGAAGGCGGGUCUCUGGGCAGUAACUGACGCUGAGGAGCGAAAGCCAGGGGAGCGAACGGG
Molecule: ribosomal RNA, 253 nt
Filed under: uncultured bacterium
Lineage: Bacteria
Description: partial 16S ribosomal RNA
Rfam family: Bacterial small subunit ribosomal RNA
Source: RNAcentral